This 252-nucleotide ribosomal RNA is filed under the name uncultured bacterium. RNAcentral describes it as "partial 16S ribosomal RNA". It matches the Rfam family "Bacterial small subunit ribosomal RNA", at positions 524 to 776 of the family's 1533-position model. The record is from RNAcentral.
UACGGGGGGUGCGAGCGUUGUCCGGAUUCACUGGGCGUAAAGGGCGCGUAGGCGGCCUAGUCAGUCGGUCGUAUAAGGGCGGGGCUUACCCUCGUUAGGCGACCGGGACGGGUGGGCUGGAGCGCGGCAGAGGGACGUGGAAUGCCGGGUGUAGUGGUGAAAUGCGUAGAGAUCCGGCGGAACACCGGUGGCGAAGGCGGCGUCCUGGGCCGUGGCUGACGCUGAGGCGCGAGAGCGUGGGGAGCGAACCGG